UUGAUGGCGACCGGCGCACGGGUGAGUAACGCGUAUCCAACCUGCCCUUUACUAUGGGACAGCCCGUCGAAAGGCGGAUUAAUACCGUAUGUUGUCAUGUUGAUGCAUUAUUUUCAUGACCAAAGGCUUCGGCCGGUAAAGGAUGGGGAUGCGUCUGAUUAGCUUGCCGGCGGGGUAACGGCCCGACCGGGGCGACGAUCAGGUAGGGGUUCUGAGAGGAACGGUCCCCCACAUUGGAACUGAGACACGGUACCAAACUCCUACGGGAGGCAGCAG
This 276-nucleotide ribosomal RNA is filed under the name uncultured bacterium. RNAcentral's name for it is "partial 16S ribosomal RNA". It matches the Rfam family "Bacterial small subunit ribosomal RNA", at positions 85 to 354 of the family's 1533-position model. The record is from RNAcentral.